Molecule: long non-coding RNA, 2801 nt
Organism: Mastomys coucha (southern multimammate mouse)
Lineage: Eukaryota; Metazoa; Chordata; Mammalia; Rodentia; Muridae
Exons: 3
Source: RefSeq, a predicted model, not a curated record
GCCGCAGCCGCAACCGCAGCCGCAGCAGCAACAGCACUGGAGGAGGAGAAAAAGCAGAAGGAGCAGGAGGAGCGGGAAGAGCAAGAAGAGCAAGAGGACCAGGAGGACCAGGAACACCAGGAGGAGAAGAAGAAGAAAUAAUGAGUGAUUGUGUCUACGUUUAUGGGAAGAGUUUGAUGGGGUACUAAUGUUGCAUCUUUGGAGAAAUGUGUACUGAAAGAAUUACUCAUGCAGACUCACCCUGUGUUGUCAUCUGAGAAUUCAAGUUCAUUACUGAAACCAAGCUUCCUCUCGGCAUCAAGAGAAGAUCAGUACAGAAGCAGAUCACUACACUUAGCUAGUGGUAUUGUAAAAUCUCUUCAUUAAUGACUUUCAUUUUGCUUGGUUAUGUAUAAAAUUGAAUCAAAUGUUUAUAUUAUCUCAUUUAGUAUAUGUUUGCAUAAAUCAUCAUUAGAACUAAUAUUUUUAUUAUUUGCCAUGUUUUUUAAAUUACAGCAAGAUCUUUAAACACUGAAUUUAUUUUGUAAUAUUUUAUUUUUCAUUAUUUAAAACAAUAUUUAAAUCAAAUAUUCAAUUAUAUUAUACCACUCCUCCAAGUUUUUUAGAUCCUUUCCCAUUUUCCACACAUCUUUAAGCUCUUUGGCAAAAAAAUAUUCAAAAAUCCAAUUGAAAACAAACCUCUCAAAAUCAGUAAAAUAAAAAUCACAUUCAAAACAAUCAGAAACCCCCCAAAAAAAACAACAAUAAAGAAAACAACAAAAAGGAUAAAUCACCAAACAGUAUCAAUGUAAAAGAACACUCACAAACUCAGAAAACUGUGUAUUUGAAUUAUUUAUUGAUCAACUACUGUUGAUCCUAGGGCCUGUACUAGUUGAUGUACCUAGUUUCACUCUUUCAGGAAAACUAAAUUUUAUCUUUCUGAGUGGUUAUAUGUGAAAGUUCAGUUGUUGACCUUUACUCUAUUGUCUACAUUUUCAUUUAUUUAUUAUUUUAUAUAUUUAUUUAUUUACUUAUUCAUCCAUUCAGUCCAUUUUAAAAUAUAAGAAAAUUAAAUAUAAUAAAAUAAAAUGAAACUAUCUAUAGUACUAAUGUACUAAUCAAUAUUGGAAAGGAGUUACUACCUGGAUCAGUGUAACUCUACUUUAAUAUUAAUAGGGACCCAAAACCUUUUUGCACAGCAGAAUCUAGAAGUAACUUCUGGAAACAUGCCCCCAGUUAAUUCUGAUUAGUAAACAAAGAUGCCAGCAGCUAAUAGUCAGGCACGAGAGACAGCUGCAGGAUUUAAGAUUCCCAGGUUUGGAACCUUAAGGAAGAGGAAGGACAGAGCGAUGCAGGGAAGGAAAGCAGAGCCACCAUGUAAAGGGGCCAGGAGAACAUGGCUCCGAGAGUUGCUCAAUUUAGUCGAGAGUAGUCAAAAAUAAUGAAGAAAUUAGUAAGUAGUAAUCCAGAGUUAUCUGCAAAAGGAGGAGACUAAGAGCACAGAGGUUAGACAGUUGCUCAGUUACUGUGCUGCUUAAGUCAUGUUAAAUAUAAAGGUUGUAUGUUUUUCAUUCAGAAACAUAAACUAUUGAAACAGGCCAUCACCAAUGAGAGAUUAAUUUAAAAGUUAAUACUACAACUAUGAAAUUGAACCUGGAACUGUAAGUUCUAUGUGGGCACUGACUUGACAUCUCCAUUUUAAUGAAAUUUCUAAGUACAGUCAUCAAAAAUUGAGCCUUGCUGUCAGUUUGUGGAGAGGACCCCUAUAGUUUUGGCCACAACUUGGGUUGUUCGGAAAUUUCUUUUUCUGUUAUGACAGCCCUUUUGGCCCAUGAUUCAAUUAAUCAAUUAAGUGUAAACCAGUUCCAGUGUUGGAAGCUUUGUUUGGUGACAAGUGAUGGCCUAUUGAGACACAUUAUUUGAUGAUUUUAUUUAGAUCACACACACACACACACACACACACACACACACACAUACACAUACACAUACACACACACACACACACACACACACACACACACGUGUAUAUAUUACCUAACCAGUACCCUUCUAGCCCUCUUAUAUUUAGCUAUUCCUUCAGUAUUCCUUCCCACAAUCUAUUCUCCUCACCCUAGCUGUUUCUUCCUGUUUUCUCUUCCACAAUCUCCUCUCUUACCUUAUUACCCAAUUGAUUCUAGCACCAUUGCUGAUCUGUUAGUUUGUCUAGUCUCUUACUUAUGUCAGAGUAUGCUUGAUGAAACUUGUACAUUAUCCGAUAUUUAAGAAAAAAAUCCUAAUAUUUACUUUACCUAAUGACUACCCUGAAUACAUCACCUGGGACAAUGUCCGAUGUAGGUGGCAUCAAUGUGUAACAGAUGAUUUUUAAAAUGCCAGAUACACUGAUGUAUUCAUUAUCUGUAUAUAUUAGAUUUCCACUUAUGUUUAUGGAAUUUAAUUUUUGUAACUAUAACUUGAAUUAUUUUUUUCAAAUCAUGAGAGUGGCUAGGGAUUUUCAAAGAUUUUGAUUUUCUUUUACUGAAAAGGAAAUGAUCAUGUAAUUCUUUGUCUUUAUUUGUAUUAAUGUAGUACUUUAUAUAAAUUCUUCAUAUGUGUUAAGCUAUCUCUAUAUAUUUGGGUCACAUUUGCAAUAUUAUAGUAUAAACAAUUUUUUAUCUGUUGGAUGGUUUGUAUUGUAUUUGUUAGUAUAUAUUCAUUUUGUAUUAUUAUUUGAAGUUUCUCAUGCAAUAUAAUUUAAUUACUAUCUUUUCACAUUUCCAACUACUUCCAGAUAUCCCUGUCUCCCUAACAAUAAAAUUUAAUCUACCCUUGUGUGCUAAAGAUAA